CUUGUGGAACGAGCGGCGGACGGGUGAGUAACACGUGGGCAACCUGCCUGUAAGACUGGGAUAACCCCGGGAAACCGGGGCUAAUACCGGAUAAUACGUUUCAUCACAUGAUGAGAAGUUGAAAGGCGGCUUUUAGCUGUCACUUACAGAUGGGCCCGCGGCGCAUUAGCUAGUUGGUAGGGUAAUGGCCUACCAAGGCAACGAUGCGUAGCCGACCUGAGAGGGUGAUCGGCCACACUGGGACUGAGACACGGCCCAGACUCCUACGGGAGGCAGCAGUAGGGAAUCUUCCGCAAUGGACGAAAGUCUGACGGAGCAACGCCGCGUGAGUGAUGAAGGUUUUCGGAUCGUAAAACUCUGUUGUUAGGGAAGAACAAGUACCGUUCAAAUAGGGCGGUACCGUGACGGUACCUAACCAGAAAGCCACGGCUAACUACGUGCCAGCAGCCGCGGUAAUACGUAGGUGGCAAGCGUUGUCCGGAAUUAUUGGGCGUAAAGCGCGCGCAGGCGGUCUUUUAAGUCUGAUGUGAAAGCCCACGGCUUAACCGUGGAGGGUCAUUGGAAACUGGAGGACUUGAGUACAGAAGAGGAGAGUGGAAUUCCACGUGUAGCGGUGAAAUGCGUAGAGAUGUGGAGGAACACCAGUGGCGAAGGCGACUCUCUGGUCUGUAACUGACGCUGAGGCGCGAAAGCGUGGGGAGCGAACAGGAUUAGAUACCCUGGUAGUCCACGCCGUAAACGAUGAGUGCUAGGUGUUAGGGGGUUUCCGCCCCUUAGUGCUGAAGUUAACGCAUUAAGCACUCCGCCUGGGGAGUACGGCCGCAAGGCUGAAACUCAAAAGAAUUGACGGGGGCCCGCACAAGCGGUGGAGCAUGUGGUUUAAUUCGAAGCAACGCGAAGAACCUUACCAGGUCUUGACAUCCUCUGAACACGGUAGAGAUAUCGUUUUCCCUUCGGGGACAGAGUGACAGGUGGUGCAUGGUUGUCGUCACCUCGUGUCGUGAGAUGUUGGGUUAGUCCCGCACGAGCGCACCCUUGAUCUAGUUGCCAGCAUU
This 1055-nucleotide ribosomal RNA is filed under the name Virgibacillus sp. Its description in RNAcentral is "bacterial SSU rRNA". It matches the Rfam family "Bacterial small subunit ribosomal RNA", at positions 83 to 1125 of the family's 1533-position model. The record is from RNAcentral. Lineage: Bacteria; Bacillati; Bacillota; Bacilli; Caryophanales; Bacillaceae.